GAACCGUGUCGCAACUGGCGUAGAAGCGGGGUCCGCGCACCCCGCCCAAGAUGGUCACCAUCGGGGAGCGACUGACACGGAUUCGGCCGCACGCCUGGGCCGAUACG
Molecule: non-coding RNA, 107 nt
Organism: Mycetocola reblochoni REB411
Lineage: Bacteria; Bacillati; Actinomycetota; Actinomycetes; Micrococcales; Microbacteriaceae
Source: Rfam